This is a small nucleolar RNA of Nannospalax galili (Upper Galilee mountains blind mole rat), 133 nucleotides long. NCBI's taxonomy places the organism in Eukaryota, Metazoa, Chordata, Mammalia, Rodentia, Spalacidae. The record is from Ensembl.
CCCCUUUUCAAAGAGCUCAAUGGGCCUUUUGCUAGUGAUCCACUGAGCCAUCAAGAAGGGGCACAGUAAAAACACUGCUUUUGGGUGAAAUAGCAAGUGGUAUGGUUUUACUUCAAUGGGAGUUGUGACAAGA